This 364-nucleotide long non-coding RNA is filed under the name Anser brachyrhynchus (Pink-footed goose). RNAcentral's name for it is "lncRNA (ENSABRG00000010968.1)". Lineage: Eukaryota; Metazoa; Chordata; Aves; Anseriformes; Anatidae. The record is from RNAcentral.
AUGGUUUUCCUGGUAAUUUGUCAACACCUUCUGAGUUCUGAUCUUGUCCUCCAGGCAGUUCCUUCUAGGACUGUCUUUUCCUCAGGUACAGUAAUUCUCUUUAUAACUCUCUAUUCAACCAUCCAGGCUGCACAAAGCAUUGACUGGAAUAUGAGACAGGCCACCUUUACAUUUGUUAUGUCCCUUUAUUUUGCCAGUGAAAAAUACAUUUUUUUAAGGUAUAUUGUGUAACAGUUUGCACACGUUUAUGGCAGUUUCAGCUGGACCAUGUUUGCCCUGCUUCCAUGUAAAAUAAUGCUGGUCAGUGGGAUUUCUUCAUUGCACCAAGUUUAGGAAAAAAAGUUUAUUUUCCUGUAAGAGCAAG